UUUUUUUAGAGUUUGAUUCCCGCUCAGGACGAACGCUGGCGGCGGCGUGCCUAAUACAUGCAAGUCGAACGCUUCUUUUCCCACCGGAGCUUGCUCCACCGGGAAAAGAGGAGUGGCGAACGGGUGAGUAACACGUGGGUAACCUGCCCAUCAGAAGGGGAUAACACUUGGAAACAGGUGCUAAUACCGUAUAACAAUCGAAACCGCAUGGUUUCGUUUUGAAAGGCGCUUUACGGUGCCGCUGAUGGAUGGACCCGCGGUGCAUUAGCUAGUUGGUGAGGUAACGGCUCACCAAGGCCACGAUGCAUAGCCGACCUGAGAGGGUGAUCGGCCACAUUGGGACUGAGACACGGCCCAAACUCCUACGGGAGGCAGCAGUAGGGAAUCUUCGGCAAUGGACGAAAGUCUGACCGAGCAACGCCGCGUGAGUGAAGAAGGUUUUCGGAUCGUAAAACUCUGUUGUUAGAGAAGAACAAGGGUGAGAGUAACUGUUCACCCCUUGACGGUAUCUAACCAGAAAGCCACGGCUAACUACGUGCCAGCAGCCGCGGUAAUACGUAGGUGGCAAGCGUUGUCCGGAUUUAUUGGGCGUAAAGCGAGCGCAGGCGGUUUCUUAAGUCUGAUGUGAAAGCCCCCGGCUCAACCGGGGAGGGUCAUUGGAAACUGGGAGACUUGAGUGCAGAAGAGGAGA
RNAcentral lists this ribosomal RNA (691 nucleotides) under Enterococcus mundtii. Its description in RNAcentral is "bacterial SSU rRNA". It matches the Rfam family "Bacterial small subunit ribosomal RNA", at positions 1 to 660 of the family's 1533-position model. The record is from RNAcentral. Lineage: Bacteria; Bacillati; Bacillota; Bacilli; Lactobacillales; Enterococcaceae.